This is a non-coding RNA of Burkholderiales bacterium 68-12, 85 nucleotides long. The record is from Rfam. NCBI's taxonomy places the organism in Bacteria, Pseudomonadati, Pseudomonadota, Betaproteobacteria, Burkholderiales.
CUACCGGCGUCGAGAGGCGUCGGGAAGGGUUGGCAGGAGUCAGCAGAGGCCGUAUUAGCCGCUGGCAACCGCAGCGACGAAGGGC